Unclassified non-coding RNA from Papio anubis (olive baboon), 148 nucleotides. It matches the Rfam family "Metazoan signal recognition particle RNA". From Rfam's summary of the family: The signal recognition particle (SRP) is a universally conserved ribonucleoprotein. It is involved in the co-translational targeting of proteins to membranes. The eukaryotic SRP consists of a 300-nucleotide 7S RNA and six proteins: SRPs 72, 68, 54, 19, 14, and 9. The record is from Ensembl. Lineage: Eukaryota; Metazoa; Chordata; Mammalia; Primates; Cercopithecidae.
GCUGGGCGUGUUGGCAGAUGCCUGUAAUCCCAGCUACUUGGGAGGCUGAGGCAGAAGAAUCACUUGAGCUUGGGAGGUGGAGGUUGCAGUGAGCCGAGAUCGUGCCACUAAACUCCAACCUGGGCCACAGAGUGAGACUCAGCCUCAA